UACGUAGGGUGCAAGCGUUAAUCGGAAUUACUGGGCGUAAAGCGUGCGCAGGCGGUGAUGUAAGACAGGUGUGAAAUCCCCGGGCUUAACCUGGGAACUGCAUUUGUGACUGCAUCGCUGGAGUGUGGCAGAGGGGGAUGGAAUUCCGCGUGUAGCAGUGAAAUGCGUAGAUAUGCGGAGGAACACCGAUGGCGAAGGCAAUCCCCUGGGCCUGCACUGACGCUCAUGCACGAAAGCGUGGGAGCAAACAG
This 251-nucleotide ribosomal RNA is filed under the name uncultured bacterium. Its description in RNAcentral is "partial 16S ribosomal RNA". It matches the Rfam family "Bacterial small subunit ribosomal RNA", at positions 524 to 775 of the family's 1533-position model. The record is from RNAcentral.